AGCGGCGAAAGGGAGAGUAACGCGUAGUUACCUACCCCAGGGUCCGGAAUAGCUGCGGGAAACUGCAGGUAAUGCCGGAUAAUAUCCCCGGAUCAAAGGCGAGAUUCCGCCCUGGGAGGGGACUGCGUCCUACUAGCUUGUUGGUGGGGUAACGGCCUACCAAGGCUACGAUGGGUAGCGGGCGUGAGAGCGUGGCCCGUCUCACUGGGACUGAGACACUGCCCAGACACCUACGGGUGGCUGCAGUCGAGAAUCUUCGGCAAUGGGCGAAAGCCUGACCGAGCGAUGCCGCGUGCGGGAUGAAGGCCUUCGGGUUGUAAACCGCUGUCAGUUGGGAGGAAGGCUCUGUGAAGAGCAGAGUUUGACCUAUCUUCAGAGGAAGUACGGGCUAAGUUCGUGCCAGCAGCCGCGGUAACACGAACCGUACGAACGU
This 433-nucleotide ribosomal RNA is filed under the name uncultured bacterium. RNAcentral describes it as "bacterial SSU rRNA". It matches the Rfam family "Bacterial small subunit ribosomal RNA", at positions 94 to 541 of the family's 1533-position model. The record is from RNAcentral.